This 435-nucleotide ribosomal RNA is filed under the name uncultured bacterium. RNAcentral's name for it is "partial 16S ribosomal RNA". It matches the Rfam family "Bacterial small subunit ribosomal RNA", at positions 29 to 507 of the family's 1533-position model. The record is from RNAcentral.
AGCGAACGCUGGCGGCAGGCUUAACACAUGCAAGUCGAGCGGGCAUCUUCGGAUGUCAGCGGCAGACGGGUGAGUAACACGUGGGAACGUACCCUUCGGUUCGGAACAACUCUGGGAAACUGGAGCUAAUACCGGAUACGCCCUUAUGGGGAAAGGUUUACUGCCGAAGGAUCGGCCCGCGUCUGAUUAGCUAGUUGGUGGGGUAACGGCCUACCAAGGCGACGAUCAGUAGCUGGUCUGAGAGGAUGAUCAGCCACACUGGGACUGAGACACGGCCCAGACUCCUACGGGAGGCAGCAGUGGGGAAUAUUGGACAAUGGGCGCAAGCCUGAUCCGGCCAUGCCGCGUGAGUGAUGAAGGCCUUAGGGUUGUAAAGCUCUUUUGUCCGGGACGAUAAUGACGGUACCGGAAGAAUAAGCCCCGGCUAACUUCGUG